This 72-nucleotide transfer RNA is filed under the name Capra hircus (goat). It matches the Rfam family "tRNA". Rfam says of the family: Transfer RNA (tRNA) molecules are approximately 80 nucleotides in length. RNAcentral also lists the same sequence under 1 other name. Lineage: Eukaryota; Metazoa; Chordata; Mammalia; Artiodactyla; Bovidae. The record is from Rfam by way of RNAcentral.
UCUCUGGUAGCUCAGCUGGUAAAGAAUCUGCCUGCAAUGCAGGAGACCUGAGUUCAACCCUUGGCUUGGGAA